RNAcentral lists this long non-coding RNA (10782 nucleotides) under Solanum tuberosum (potato). RNAcentral describes it as "long non-coding RNA (STUB_LNC007715)". The record is from RNAcentral. Lineage: Eukaryota; Viridiplantae; Streptophyta; Magnoliopsida; Solanales; Solanaceae.
AAAAAAUGGCUAAUGAUGAGGUGAUUCUGUUGGAUUUUUGGCCUAGCAUGUUUGGUAUGAGGCUAAGGAUUGCACUUGCUGAAAAAGAGGUUAAAUAUGAGUACAAAGAAGAAGAUUUGAGGAACAAAAGUCCUCUGCUUUUGCAAAUGAAUCCUAUCCACAAGAAAAUCCCUGUUUUGAUUCAUAAUGGAAAACCAAUCUGUGAGUCACUUAUUGGAGUUGAGUACAUUGACGAAGUUUGGAAGGAUAAAUCCCCUUUGCUCCCUUCUGACCCUUAUGUGAGGGCACAAGCUAGGUUCUGGGGUGACUACAUUGAUAAGAAGGUAAAUUCAUAGCCCUUUCCCCUUUUCAUUUAAGUAUUUAUAUGGAAUAGAUUAAUUGUUUACUUAUAUGGACACAAAUAAUUGAUCUCUUCUUGUGAGCUAACUUUUGAAGUUGUUUGAGUUAGACAUGUGUGUUAUAUCUUUACGUGAUAUUAGAGUCAGAUUCAUUGUUGUUUGUGCUUUUAAUUUAAACUCAUGUUGAACCCAAAAAUGAAGGGACGUAAAAGUGAGUUAGAGUCACACAUCAGUUGGAGAAUGAGCUGGCGGUCUACUUAGAUGAAUUUAGGCAAUUCUCUCCUUAUGAGUUAGUUUUUGAGGUUGAGUUAGGUUCAUAUAUCAUAUAUUUAUAUGAUAUUAUAGUCUGAUCUAAUCCCUAUUUGCACUUUUUUCCCAAGCUCCAUUUGGGCCUUGACGUGAAGAGGGUGUUAGAUCCCCACAUUGUCUCGUUAUAUAGUUUUAAUUAAUCAUCACUUCACAAGCUAGAUCCCCCCCCUCCCCCCUUUCCACGCUCUAGAUGCUAAGUCAAAGGCCCGGGGGCUGGGGGUCUUAGAGUUUCACAUUAGUUGAAGAAAUAGAAUAUUGUCUGUGUUUGUUGAAAUAUAAGUGUUAACCGUUUUGUUUUUCUGUGUUUGUUGAAAUUUCAGCUGUAUGAUACAGCGAGGAAGAUUUAUUCAGCAACGGGAGACGAACAUGAGGCAGGUAAGAAAGAUUUCAUAGAAAUCCUUAAAGUGUUGGAGGGAGCACUUGGAGAGAAGCCUUAUUAUGGAGGAGAUAACUUUGGUUUUGGGGAUAUUGCUCUGAUUGGGUUCUACUGUUGGUUUCCUGCUUAUGAGAUUUAUGGUAACUUCAGCAUUGAGGCUGAGUGCCCAAAGCUUGUGGCUUGGGCCAAGAGGUGCAUGAAGAGGGACAGUGUGGCUAAAACUUUGCCUGACCAACAUAAGAUCCUUGAGUUUGCAAAAAUUCUUAGGGAAAAGCUUGGACUUGAAUAAACAUAUGGUUAUGCAAUUAUGCAUAUCAUAAUGUAUUGAAAAAGGCACUUCGUUGUGCCUUUUCUUGAGUUGUUGUUUCAAGAUUUGAAAUGUUUGUUUGGUCAUAGUGUAAGUUCUAUUCUACUUGUAAUAAAGGACAAGCUUGUGUCUUGUUGAAUGUUGGCUUUUGUUAUGAGAAGUAAUUACUUUUUUCAUGAGCAUCAUCUAACACAAUACUCUCCCGCUGUUGUGUAGACUGUAGUGUAGAGUAUGAUAUAGUGUUUAGUUAUGUUAAAUGAUUAAUAUUUAAUAUAUAUGGAGAGUAUAGUAGUAAAUUAUUAUCGUCUUAAUGAGUUAUUGGGUAGGUUAUUGGUUUACCCAAUAACCCAAUACUAAAAAUCGAUAUCAAACCGAUAAUCCAAUAAUGUUUUUAUAGAACCAUUAAAAACCCGUUAACCCAAUAACAUUUUCAAUUCGAUUUAAUGGUCGGUUUAAUUUUUGCACACCACAACUUGAUGACUAAUAAAAGUCCACUUCUUUGUUAAAAGAGUUCACUUUGUGAGUACACUAGUGGUAUGGGUAAUUAAUAUGGAUAUCCACUCAUAUUUACCUAUUUUAAAUGGGUUGGGUAUCCAACUCAUUUAAAAAGGGCAAAAAACUUAAAUAUACAAUUUAAAGUCUUUAAUUACAUCAAUAUAGCAAUCCUUUUUUUUUUUCAAUUAUAUAACAGUAUUUUUUUUUUCAAAACUAGAAUUUUUAUUUUUAAAAAAAACCUUUACCAAGUCCGCUACAAAUAUCACGUAUCCCUUAAAUUUCUCCAAUUAUUUUACUUUCCUUGAUUUACUCCAAUUUGUUAUAUAUUAUCUCCUAUGAAGAGAGGUUUCAUACAAAAAUAAAACUCCUCUUCUCUGCUAAGAUCGACGAUCCAAAAUGCAUACCAAUAGUUUUUCAAUUCUAAUUCAACACAGCGGACGAUGGGACUCAGCAGCUAAUUGAUAAAAAACAGUUUAUAUGAUGGGUUUUUUCGUGGUUGUAUUUGAUUUUUCACAACAUAUCGAUUUUAAUCUUUUUUGUAGUUAUUCUUUUGGUUUAUUUUGUCGGUUUUGGUGGAAUGUAAAUUCAUAUGAUUUGUUUGAUGUUCUGGAGCAUCAAUAUGCUUUAAUUAUUAAAUAAAUAUUAAAAUUUAUCAAUUGUUUGUGGAAUAAUAUUGAGUUUUUCACAGCAUCUGGGUUUUUAUUCUUUUGGUAUUGAUUUGUUGUUUUAUGUUAACGAUUUUGGUGCAAUUACAACAACUUCAUAUGAUUUUUAUUGUAAUAUGAUGUGUCGAAUAGGAUUUUUUUGAAAAAUUUAGGUUUAAUUGAUUAAUGUAACAACUUAAAAUAACAUCAUAAAUUGUGUGUUUAAAUUGGUAUGUUGAAUGGCGUAUGUUAACAGAUUGUAUCAAUAUUACUUUUGAUAUGUGAUAUGGUGUACACAUACCCACUGCAAGUAAGAUUGUAGGUGCAUGUAUAUGUGUAUUUUGUUGUAUUAUUUGGUAUAUAAAAUACAAUAAUAAAAUAAUAUUUUGGUACAUUGUUUGGUUUAUUUUGAUUAUCUGAAUUGGUGUAUAUAAUAAAAUUGAAAAAUUGAUAAUAUAUUGGUACAUUUUUGGUGUAUUUUAAUUAUCUGAAUUGGUGUAUAUAAUAAAUUGAAAAAUUGAUAAUAUAUUGGUACAUUUUUGGUGUAUUUUAAUUAUCUGAAUUGGUGUAUAUAAUAAAUUGAAAAAUUGAUAAUAUGUUGAUUGGUAAGUGAUCUUGUACUUAUGCUUGAAUAGUUGAUUCUAUGAAUUGGUGGUAUGUGUUGUUGUAUUUUUUGGUCUAAAUUGUAAUACCUUAAACGUCAGAAUACUUAUGAUAUGUUUAUUGGUAUGAUAAAUUAUUUGGUAUACCUGUUAGUGUGAAUUACCACAAGUAUGCCGAUUUAUUAUUAGUACAGUAAAUGGUGAAAAAGUUACUCACUUACUAGAGUGUAUAAAAAAAACCUUAGUUGUGUGCCAUCAAUUACCAAUGUAACUACCAAGAUGUUUAAAUAUAUGGAUGUAGUAACUGCAUUCUGCAAAAUUUAGCAAAUUAUUAAGAGUUUGUAAUUCAAUACAUAGUAAGUAUUAACAUUACUAUAUUAUACAUGGUAUGUUUUGGUAUUAUUAUUGAUAAUGUAUGUUUUAAAUUGAAGGUACGCUCAUCAACAGAAUACCUUCAUACAGUUAUAAAUGGUGCAAAGAGGUAUACAGUAUGUUUGAAUACUCGUAUGUGCAGUUGUGGCAGAUUUCAACAUGAUGAGAUCCCUUGUAGUCAUGUAAUUGUUGCUAUCAGAUAUAGGAAUAAACAUCGCGAUGACUACUAUUCCGCUUAUUAUAGUAACAAGAAUUAUCAGGAUACAUAUGCAAUACCAAUAGAACCCUUGCCUUGCGAAAGCACUUGGGAUAUUCCAUCACAUGUUUCCGUAAUUGUUAUUAAUGGCUUUCAUGAACUCAUUUAAUAAUCGUGUUGUGAAUGAGCAAGUGAGGUUGGUAUAAUUCUAGCCUAAUAUAAAAAUAAUUAAAAACUAGUUAAUGUGAAGAACUUGGUUACCAGAAAUAAUAGACUAUGUUAAUGUAAAAAGUUGAUUAAACCAAAUAUUUGAAAAAAUAUAGGACUAUUGAAAAAAUGAGGUGUGUUAAUAUAUUGGUUUAAUCUGAAACCAUAAUAAAUACAAUUUGUUAAAGGAAAAUUUUGGUGAACUUACGUUAAAAUAGGAACGAAAAUUGGUAAACAUAUUCACAUGAUAAUGGUUGUAUGUAGGGAUCAUAUGUUUGCAUUAUAUACCAACCUAAAACAAUAAAUUUGAAAAAACUACUUAAAGUUAAAAUCAUGGUUUGAAUGAUACCAGAAAAAAACUCACUCUGUUAAUGUACAAAAAUUGGUUUACUUAUAAUAAAAACUACACAAAACUUGGUAAACUUAAUGGUAUAUAUAGCAAACUAAAAUAUUGAAUGAAAACAAAUAGCACAAAUAAAACAAAUCUGAUAUAAUAUUUGAGUAAUGCUAAAACCAAUUGCAUAAUAAUGGUUGUAUAAAGUAAUUCAAAUGUUUGAAUUAUAUACCAACCUAUAACGGUGAAUUGUAAAAAAAACUAUAAAAGGUUAAUAUUUUGAUUUGGACUGUUACCGGAAUUAACAUAUUUUGUUCAAGUAAAAAUAUUGUUAGGCGUUAGAAUCUGAUAAGAAGAAGAUGGAUGGUUAGGCGUUAGAAAUUAUGGUGAGGCCUCUGGUUAAUUGGAAUGACAAGCGAUUAAAUGAAGAAGAUGUAAGGUUUAAGAGAUAUGGACGAAUAAAAUUGAAGGGUUAUCUCAAUAUACCGCUGAAAAAAGGAAUCCUAAUAUAUCUUGGAAAUAACUCAGUUAUUGAUAAUUGUACUAAUUUUAUUGGUAUCAUAAAAAUCUUUAAAUAAAAGGAAUAAAUCAAUAUGGACAGAAAAAAUGACUACAAAACGUAAAAAGGAAAAUAAAAAAAUACUGAAACGUGUGAAAAGGGAUUUGUAAUAUCAACUUUAUUAUAAAAGGAAUCCCAAUAAAUUAUACAAAACAUAAAAAAGGAAAUAAAAAAGAAUAAACAAACGUGUGUAUGUGGGUCUAUUUAAUGAGAGAGAAUAUAUGAUAAAAUUAAAUACCUAAUUACACUCCACAUAAUAUGACACGAACUACUAAGAGUCAGAGAGAGAAAAUCUGGUAAUUUUUUUUAAAAGUAAAAUAAAAAUUAAAUAUUUUGUUAUGUAUGUAAUUUAAAAACUUAGUUUGUAAUUAAAUAUAAGUAUACUGAUAUUUUGUUAAUAGAAGUCUUAAGUAGUAUAGUUUUGUAAUUUUUCCUUUAAUAAAAAUGGAUAAAAAUGAAUAAUACUAAUAUUACCCAUUUAAAAGUGAGUAAUUAAAUGGAUAAAAUGGGUAAAUGAUGUUCUUUCACACACAAAAAAAGAAGUGGUAAAGGGUGGGGCAGUAAGAAAGUCUAUUUUUUUUUAAAAAAAUCUAUAUAAAAAAAUGAAACUUGAUUGAUAAUUUGAUUCAAGUUGUUGAGGGAAAUGUUGCAUAAAUACUUGAUUUUUAAAAUAAAUUUAUUCACUUCGAACACAACUUAUGACAUACGUGAUUGAAAUAAUAAAAUUUGCGUAUCAAUUUACAAAUUUUGACUGGUGUUGGGAAGUCACAAUAUAUGAUUGAAGUGCAAUCAAUUUUUAUUUAUGUACUUAAGGCAUGUAUUUCGUAAGUGUAAAUGUUGGUUAAUUGAUUAUUUCUUUCGACUAUAAACAAAAACUUAUUUUGUUGAAUUUCAACAAUUUAACACAUGAUUUAAUGCACAAAUUUACUUCAAAUGAUUAUAAUUUGAAAUAUAAGUUUCAAAAUUAUAAAGAACAAAUCUCAAUUAUAAAUUGAUCAAAACAAUAGAAAAACUUGCCAGCUCAUUUUACAAUAGUAAUGUACUUAAGAUGCACGUGACUGAAGUGCAUUCAAUUUUAAAGAGAUAAGUAUCAAAAACAUACUUAAACAAUCAUUUUUUUUUAGUUUCAUAUCUAAACUAUUGAGAGUGUGAAUUUCAUAAAUAAACUAUCACUUUUUAGUUUGAAAAACACACCUCAAUGGUGUGUGUAAUACACACUCUCUUUUAUUUUUCUUACCCCACUUCACCCACCUCCUCCACGUACCCCCCUCNNNNNNNNNNNNNNNNNNNNNNNNNNNNNNNNNNNNNNNNNNNNNNNNNNNNNNNNNNNNNNNNNNNNNNNNNNNNNNNNNNNNNNNNNNNNNNNNNNNNNNNNNNNNNNNNNNNNNNNNNNNNNNNNNNNNNNNNNNNNNNNNNNNNNNNNNNNNNNNNNNNNNNNNNNNNNNNNNNNNNNNNNNNNNNNNNNNNNNNNNNNNNNNNNNNNNNNNNNNNNNNNNNNNNNNNNNNNNNNNNNNNNNNNNNNNNNNNNNNNNNNNNNNNNNNNUGGUGGAGUGCGGUAAGAAAAAUAUUUUACAUUUUAUUUUAUAAAAGAAAUAAUAUUUUUUUGGAUAAUAAUUUUAUAAUUUUUAAUUUUUAAUUUUAACUAAUACUAAUAAUUUAUUUAAUUUUGUCAAGAUUGAAUGUUUUGUCCAUGUGGAGUGUGAUGUGACAAUUUUUUAAGAUAAAAGUGAGGGUGUAUUACACACACCAUGAUGAGGGUGGUAUAAAAGAGAGAGGUGUGUUUAUCAAACUAAAAAGUGAUAGUUUAGGUAUGAAACUCAAAAAAAAGGUAUAGUCUAGGUGUGUUUUUGAAACUUAUCUCAUUUUUAAAAUGUGUGUUUGAAUAGUAUAGGGAUGACAAUGAGACGGUGCGGGGUAAGUUGAGCUUAACUCACAAAAAAUUUAAUCCGCCCCGCAAAACCCUAUUUUUCAUUUUCAACCCGCCCCGCAUAAAUCUGUUCCGCAUGAACUCGCCCUGCAUAAUUUUUUUAAUAUUUUCUUUUUUCUAGUUAAGUUUGAUACUAAAAAUAAAUUUAUAAAAAUAAAUUCAUUUUUUUAUUAAGUUGUAUUAAUUUAAUAGGAUAAUGACUUAUUAUUUACUUUUAGAGGUCAAUUGGGAAACUUUUAAGAAAUUAAAUUAUUCUUUAUUGAACCAUUUCCAUUUAUUAUCUUGAAUAUUUUAGUAGCUUUAAAGAAAUUAUCCUAAUAAAUAAUGCUCUAUCACUCUUAUAACAUGUAAAAAAUUAAAAUUAAAUUUAAACCCACAUAAAAUCACAUAUACCCGCAAUCAGCCCCGCAUUAGUUUUAAAAAAUCCACUUCAACCCACCCCGCAUCCCACCUGCCAUGUACAACCUUAAACCCGCCCCACCCCGCAUCCGCCCCGCCCCAUUGGCAUCCCUAUAGAUGUUCAAUUUAUUUUACCCCCAAAAAUAAAAAUAUAACAGACUUGUUUUACAUAAUGUUAAUUAACCAACAUUUAAAACUUUUCCAGUAACAUCCCUUUAAUUUAAAACUUACUCUCAUAUUUGAAAUUCAAGAUCACUUUUUUUAAAAAAACAUUAUAUUUUAAUAGCUAUAAAUUUGAAAAUAAUAUUGUUUCCCAUGCAUGAAUAUGAAUAAAAAAUUCAAUCAUACAACUAGGGGUAUUUUAUAGUAUGAUUUCAAAGUGAAAAAUGCCCAAAAAGUCCAAGAUAAUAGGUAAGCCCAAACAUAAGAAGUCCAUAUCUUUCCUCUCUCUUUUUUUUUUAAAUUUAAUUUAUACUUAACUAAAAUCUUUGACAGCAUAAAUAUCAAAUAAUUGUAAAAUAAAUAAAUAAAAAGUCUAGCUUGACAGUGUAGUUGACAUACAUUUCAAACCCCAACCAUUUUUCCGUUUUAAUUAAAAGCUUGUGAAAGGGACUUUGAUAUUUUUUAAAAAAGUAAAAUAAUAAACCUUAAAGAAUAUACACAUUGUUUCUUUGUACAACUCAAAGAUAUUGAUAUGAACGUGUAAUCUGAAGUAAUUUGUAAAUACUUGUAUUGCUAUAUUACACGUUUUAAGUUUUAUUCUUCGUUUUAUGUGGGUUCUUAGCAGUUAAGGUUUUCAUUAUUUGUACAGGUAAAACUAGUUGUAACUUUUUUACAAUUUAUAUAUAACUCAAAAAACUAUUUUUGUCCUAUUUUCGUGUAUGAGCAGAGCUAGAAGAUGUAAGGAGAUAAUCUGAAUCUUGUUUGUUAAAAACUUACAUUAUAUAUGAUAAAAAAAAAUAGGGAGUAGAUGUAGUACAAAGGCUACAAUUGCAUGUUACAACUAAAACAUAAUAAUUAAUAUAGAAUUUCUGAUGUGAAGUAGAAGUAUUGUGACGUGUGAAGUGUGUAGACCGUAGUGUAGAGUAUUGAUAUAAUGUCUAGUUAUGUUAAAUUAUUAAGAGUAAAUUUUAGGUUUAGCAAAUAUAAAAAUCAUACUUGUAUGCUAUAGUUAUAGUUUGUAUAAUUGCGCUCCAUAGCAAACUUUAUGUUUGCUAUGGCUAUUAAUCUGUACAUUUCGGUAUACAUUUACAUAAAAAAUAUGUAUUUGGGUCUAUUUGUAUAUUUCGGUAUACAAAUGGGAUGACCAAAAACAUGGAAUGUUUGCUGCAAAUUACAAAUAAAAGAAACUAUGGUUGUAACAUUUAAUUUGAAUUAAUAAUCGGGUCUUGCAUUUGUAUAUUUCGAUCUAUUUGUAUAUUUUGGUAUACAAAUGGGUCCUGCAUUUGUAUAUUUCGAUAUACAAAUGGGUCCUGCAUUUGUAUAUUUCGGUCUAUUUGUAUAUUUCAGUAUACAAAUGGGUCCUGCAUUUGUAUAUACAAAUGGGAUGACAAAAAACAUAGAAUGUUAUUUUGGGUAUACAAAUGGGUCAUGCAUUUGUAUAUUUCGAUAUACAAAUGGGAUGACAAAAAACAUAGAAUGUUUGCUGCGAAUUACAAAUAAAAGAAACUAUGACUAUAACAUUUAAUUUGAAUUAUUAGUUUACUAUUUCAUACAAUUUUCUCAAUUAUUAAUAUUUAAUAUUUAUGAAGAGCAUAAUAGUAAAUUACCAUCGUCUGGGUUAUCGGUUUACCCAAUAACCCAAUACUAAAAAUCGAUAAUCCAAUAUAUUUUUAAUAAAAUCAUUAAAAAUUUGUUAACCCAAUAAUCCAAUAGCAAUAAUCUAAUAACAUUUUUUUUAAUUCGAUUUAAUGGUCGGUUCGAUUUGUGCACACCAAAUGACUAAUAAAAGCCCACUUCUUUGUUGAAAGAGUCCACUUUAUGACUAAAAACUUUGACAGUUUGAAUAUCAUAUAAUUAUAAUAUAAAAUAAAAAUAAAUAAAAAGUCUAGCUUGACAGUAUUGCUUUGGAAUAUAUUUCAAACCCCAAUCAUUUUUCCGUUUUUAAUUAAAAUAAGAUACACAUAUUGGCUAUUGCACCAUUAGUCCAGACACCGUCCACCCCAUACUACACUGUACCUUUGUACAUUCCAAAGAUAAUUGAUUUAAACGUGUGAUCUUAAGCAAUUUCUGAAUUCUUGUAUUAUUAUACGUAUUAUCAGGUAUAGUAAAUGUAUUUUUUUCAAAAUAGUUGUCAAUUUAAACAAUUAAGAGAAAAGAAUAAUUAUAUUUUUCUCAUUUUAUGCUUAACAUUAAUUAUUCUAAAAUUAAGAGGCACUCAAUAAAGAUUAAAGAGUUAAUAAUGAACCACCAAAAGAUAAAUAAAUUGAACUCUACAUGACGAAUGCAAUGACCUAUAGGCAUUGGCGAGCCACCUUAUCAUUAGGGGUUCAUCCGAACCCUCUUUUGCGGAAAAUUAUAUUAUAUUUACAUGAUUAAAGUAAUUUUUUUAGGUAUAUAUAGUAGAUGUCGAACCUCCUUCGACUGCUUCGUGUGUCUAUUUCUUCAAAUUUUGAACCCCUUAUCAAAAAUUCUGGCUCCACCGCUGCCUAUAUAGGCUAUAGACCAAUUGAUCACGUGACUAUUUAGAACACAAAAAAAUCGAAAAAGUUAAGGCAUCUACACAACUAUAUAUACUUCGUGUAUGUAUGUACAACAAACAAAUCAAUACUUUGGCAAUUUUGAGAAUUUUUUUUUCUUAAUUCUUCUUAACUUGUUAAUUCAUACAAAAAAAAAGGCUAAUGAUGAGGUGAUUCUGUUGGAUUCUUGGCCUAGCAUGUUUGGUAUGAGGUUAAGGAUUGCACUUGCUGAAAAAGAGAUUAAAUAUGAGUACAAAGAAGAGGAUUUGUGGAACAAAAGUCCUCUGCUUUUGCAGAUGAAUCCUAUCCACAAGAAAAUCCCUGUUUUGAUUCACAAUGGGAAACCAAUCUGUGAGUCACUUAUUGGAGUUGAGUAUAUUGAGGAAGUGUGGAAGGAUAAAUCCCCUUUGCUCCCUUCUGACCCUUAUGAGAGGGCACAAGCUAGGUUCUGGGGUGACUACAUUGAUAAGAAGGUAAAAUGAUAGCCCUUUCCCCAUUUUCUGUUUGGUAUUUAUUAGCCAAUCUAAACUAAUUUGGGAUUGAAGCAUUGUUGUGUUGUUAGAGUGGGUUAGAGUCCCACCUCUGUUGGAAUAGAUUAGUUGUUUACUUAUAUGGACAUAGAUAAUUCUCAUUCUUAUGAGCUAACUUUUGAAGUUGAUCGAGUCGCACAUUAGUUUGAGAAUGAGUUGGCGGUUUACUUAUAUGAAUUUGAACGAUCAUUUCCUAAGAGCUAACUUUUGAGAUUGAGUUAGGUAUAUCUUUAUAUGGUAUUAGAGUCAGAUCCAUCCCUACUUUCACUUCUGUCCCAAAUUCCAGUUGGGCCUUGACGUGAAGAGGGUGUCAGAGCCCCACAUUGUCUCGUUAUAUAGUUUUAGUCAAUCAUCACUUCACAAGCUAGACCCCCCCACCCUCUCCGCACUCUAGAUGCUAAGUCGUAGGCCUGGGGGUGUUAGAGGUUAAAUUAGCUGAAGAAAUGAAAUAUUGUUUCGUUAUAUAGUCUUGGUUAAUCCUAUUCCUCACUUUGUAAACUAGGACCCCC